UGCCAGACUCCUACGGGAGGCAGCAGUGGGGGAUAUUGCACAAUGGGGGAAACCCUGAUGCAGCGACGCCGCGUGGGUGAAGAAGCGCCUCGGCGCGUAAAGCCCUGUCAGCAGGGAAGAAAAUGACGGUACCUGAAGAAGAAGCCCCGGCUAACUACGUGCCAGCAGCCGCGGUAAUACGUAGGGGGCAAGCGUUAUCCGGAUUUACUGGGUGUAAAGGGAGCGUAGACGGCUUGGCAAGCCAGAUGUGAAAGGCUGGGGCUCAACCCCAGGACUGCAUUUGGAACUGUCAUGCUAGAGUGUCGGAGAGGCAGGCGGAAUUCCUAGUGUAGCGGUGAAAUGCGUAGAUAUUAGGAGGAACACCAGUGGCGAAGGCGGCCUGCUGGACGAUGACUGACGUUGAGGCUCGAAAGCGUGGGGAGCAAACAGGAUUAGAUACCCUUGUAC
RNAcentral lists this ribosomal RNA (447 nucleotides) under uncultured bacterium. RNAcentral's name for it is "partial 16S ribosomal RNA". It matches the Rfam family "Bacterial small subunit ribosomal RNA", at positions 329 to 793 of the family's 1533-position model. The record is from RNAcentral.